Molecule: ribosomal RNA, 254 nt
Filed under: uncultured bacterium
Lineage: Bacteria
Description: partial 16S ribosomal RNA
Rfam family: Bacterial small subunit ribosomal RNA
Source: RNAcentral
UACGUAGGGUGCAAGCGUUGUCCGGGAUUAUUGGGCGUAAAGAGCUCGUAGGCGGUUUGUCGCGUCUGCUGUGAAAACUCGGGGCUUAACUCCGGGCCUGCAGUGGGUACGGGCAGACUAGAGUGCGGUAGGGGAGACUGGAAUUCCUGGUGUAGCGGUGAAAUGCGCAGAUAAUCAGGAGGAACACCGAUGGCGAAGGCAGGUCUCUGGGCCGAUACUGACGCUGAGGAGCGAAAGCGUGGGGAGCGAACAGG